AUGUAUCGUCUGGCAGUUGUAUGUAUCGUCAGACUGUCCCAUGUAUCGUCUGGCAGUUGUAUGUAUCGUCAGACUGUCACAUGUAUCGUCUGGCAGUUGUAUGUAUCGUCAGACUGUCCCAUGUAUCGUCUGGCAGUGGUAUGUAUCGUCAGACUGUCCCAUGUAUCGUCUGGCAGUUGUAUGUGUCGUCAGACUGUCCCAUGUAUCGUCUGGCAGUUGUAUGUGUCGUCAGACUGUUUCAUGUAUCGUCUGGCAGUUGUAUGUAUCGUCAGACUGUUUCAUGUAUCGUCUGGCAGUUGUAUGUAUCGUCAGACUGUUUCAUGUAUCGUCUGGCAGUUGUAUGUGUCGUCAGACUGUUUCAUGUAUCGUCUGGCAGUUGUAUGUGUCGUCAGACUGUCCCAUGUAUCGUCUGGCAGUUGUAUGUGUCGUCAGACUGUUUCAUGUAUCGUCUGGCAGUUGUAUGUGUCGUCAGACUGUUUCAUGUAUCGUCUGGCAGUUGUAUGUAUCGUCAGACUGUUUCAUGUAUCGUCUGGCAGUUGUAUGUGUCGUCAGACUGUUUCAUGUAUCGUCAGACUGUUUCAUGUAUCGUCUGGCAGUUGUAUGUGUCGUCAGACUGUUUCAUGUAUCGUCAGACUGUUUCAUGUAUCGUCUGGCAGUUGUAUGUGUCGUCAGACUGUUUCAUGUAUCGUCUGGCAGUUGUAUGUGUCGUCAGACUGUUUCAUGUAUCGUCAGACUGUUUCAUGUAUCGUCUGGCAGUUGUAUGUGUCGUCAGACUGUUUCAUGUAUCGUCUGGCAGUUGUAUGUAUCGUCAGACUGUUUCAUGUAUCGUCUGGCAGUUGUAUGUAUCGUCAGACUGUUUCAUGUAUCGUCUGGCAGUUGUAUUUAUCGUCAGACUGUUUCAUGUAUCGUCUGGCAGUUGUAUUUAUCGUCAGACUGUUUCAUGUAUCGUCUGGCAGUUGUAUUUAUCGUCAGACUGUUUCAUGUAUCGUCUGGCAGUUGUAUGUAUCGUCAGUGUCACGACUUCUACCGAAGGUAACUCCUCUCCCUGUUCGGGCGGCGCUCGGUGCUCGGCGUCGCCGGUCUACUAGCCGCUACCGAUCCCUUUUUCUUUUUCUGGUUGUUUUGUCUGUGUUCCUUUUCACACCUGGUUUCAAUUGCUUUGAUUUCUGUGGGUAUAUAGGGCACCUGUUACCUGCCGUAAUUCGUGCAGGAUUAAGCUUGUGA
Molecule: long non-coding RNA, 1224 nt
Filed under: Oncorhynchus mykiss (rainbow trout)
Lineage: Eukaryota; Metazoa; Chordata; Actinopteri; Salmoniformes; Salmonidae
Description: lncRNA (ENSOMYG00000064708.1)
Source: RNAcentral